CCUACGGGUGGCUGCAGUGAGGAAUAUUGGUCAAUGGCCGGAAGGCUGAACCAGCCAAGCCGCGUGAAGGACGAAGGUGCCAAGCAUUGUAAACUUCUUUUGUCAAGGGACAAAAUCAGGCUCGUGAGCCUGACCGAGGGUACUUGAAGAAAAAGCAUCGGCUAACUCCGUGCCAGCAGCCGCGGUAAUACGGAGGAUGGGAGCGUUAUCCGGAUUUACGGGGUUUAAUGGGAGCGUAGACGGUUAAUCAAGUCCAAAGUGAAAACCCAGGGCUUAACCUUGGGACUGCCUUUGAAACUGGGUAGCUAGAGUGCAGGAGAGGUGAGCGGAAUUCCUAGUGUAGCGGUGAAAUGCGUAGAUAUUAGGAGGAACACCAGUGGCGAAGGCGGCUUACUGGACUGUAACUGACGUUGAGGCACGAAAGCGUGGGGAGCAAACAGGAUUAGAUACCCUGGUAGUC
This 460-nucleotide ribosomal RNA is filed under the name uncultured bacterium. RNAcentral describes it as "partial 16S ribosomal RNA". It matches the Rfam family "Bacterial small subunit ribosomal RNA", at positions 338 to 795 of the family's 1533-position model. The record is from RNAcentral.